RNAcentral lists this long non-coding RNA (210 nucleotides) under Lathyrus oleraceus (garden pea). RNAcentral describes it as "Pisum sativum (pea) long non-coding RNA (PSAT_LNC028701)". The record is from RNAcentral. Lineage: Eukaryota; Viridiplantae; Streptophyta; Magnoliopsida; Fabales; Fabaceae.
GCCAUAUUAUUUCUUCUUUCGAGAGUUUAUGCGGAGUGAUGACGGUGUUGCUUUUGGAUUCUCCUGCUAUUCUCCUUUAGCUCUUGAAGUCGUUAUGACUUUAAAGUUAGCCAUGACUAACUCCAACCCUUUCCUUUGAUCUUCAGUUAUUAAGAAUUCUAACAACAACAAAUAUUCAUCAAACAAAAUUGGAGUUUGUUAAAAGAACUG